RNAcentral lists this ribosomal RNA (497 nucleotides) under uncultured bacterium. Its description in RNAcentral is "partial 16S ribosomal RNA". It matches the Rfam family "Bacterial small subunit ribosomal RNA", at positions 28 to 507 of the family's 1533-position model. The record is from RNAcentral.
GAUGAACGCUGGCGGCGUGCCUAAUACAUGCAAGUCGAGCGAACAGACGAGGAGCUUGCUCCUCUGACGUUAGCGGCGGACGGGUGAGUAACACGUGGAUAACCUACCUAUAAGACUGGGAUAACUUCGGGACACCGGAGCUAAUACCGGAUAAUAUAUUGAACCGCAUGGUUCAAUAGUGAAAGACGGUUUUGCUGUCACUUAUAGAUGGAUCCGCGUCGCAUUAGCUAGUUGGUAAGGUAACGGCUUACCAAGGCGACGAUGCGUAGCCGACCUGAGAGGGUGAUCGGCCACACUGGAACUGAGACACGGUCCAGACUCCUACGGGAGGCAGCAGUAGGGAAUCUUCCGCAAUGGGCGAAAGCCUGACGGAGCAACGCCGCGUGAGUGAUGAAGGUAUUCGGAUCGUAAAACUCUGUUAUUAGGGAAGAACAAAUGUGUAAGUAACUAUGCACGUCUUGACGGUACCUAAUCAGAAAGCCACGGCUAACUACGUG